This 1471-nucleotide ribosomal RNA is filed under the name Staphylococcus pseudintermedius. RNAcentral's name for it is "partial 23S ribosomal RNA". It matches the Rfam family "Bacterial large subunit ribosomal RNA", at positions 1 to 1471 of the family's 2925-position model. The record is from RNAcentral. Lineage: Bacteria; Bacillati; Bacillota; Bacilli; Caryophanales; Staphylococcaceae.
GAUUAAGUUAUUAAGGGCGCACGGUGGAUGCCUUGGCACUAGAAGCCGACGAAGGACGUUACUAACGACGAUAUGCUUUGGGGAGCUGUAAGUAAGCUUUGAUCCAGAGAUUUCCGAAUGGGGAAACCCAGCACGAGUUAUGUCGUGUUAUCUGCAUGUGAAUACAUAGCAUGCAAGAAGGCAGACCCGGAGAACUGAAACAUCUUAGUACCCGGAGGAAGAGAAAGAAAAAUCGAUUCCCUGAGUAGCGGCGAGCGAAACGGGAAGAGCCCAAACCAAUAAGCUUGCUUAUUGGGGUUGUAGGACACUCUGUACGGAGUUACAAAAGAAUUUGUUAGACGAAUAACCUGGAAAGGUUAAUCAGAGAAGGUAAUAAUCCUGUAGUCGAAAACGAAUUCUCUCUUGAGUGGAUCCUGAGUACGACGGAGCACGUGAAAUUCCGUCGGAAUCUGGGAGGACCAUCUCCUAAGGCUAAAUACUCUCUAGUGACCGAUAGUGAACCAGUACCGUGAGGGAAAGGUGAAAAGUACCCCGGAAGGGGAGUGAAAGAGAACUUGAAACCGUGUGCUUACAAGUAGUCAGAGCCCGUUAAUGGGUGAUGGCGUGCCUUUUGUAGAAUGAACCGGCGAGUUACGAUCUGAUGCAAGGUUAAGCAGAAAAUGUGGAGCCGUAGCGAAAGCGAGUCUGAAUAGGGCGAAUGAGUAUUUGGUCGUAGACCCGAAACCAGGUGAUCUACCCUUGGUCAGGUUGAAGUUCAGGUAACACUGAAUGGAGGACCGAACCGACUUACGUUGAAAAGUGAGCGGAUGAACUGAGGGUAGCGGAGAAAUUCCAAUCGAACUUGGAGAUAGCUGGUUCUCUCCGAAAUAGCUUUAGGGCUAGCCUCAAGUGAUGAUUAUUGGAGGUAGAGCACUGUUUGGACGAGGGGCCCCUCUCGGGUUACCGAAUUCAGACAAACUCCGAAUGCCAAAUAAUUUAACUUGGGAGUCAGAAUGUGGGUGAUAAGGUCCAUAUUCGAAAGGGAAACAGCCCAGACCACCAGCUAAGGUCCCAAAAUAUAUGUUAAGUGGAAAAGGAUGUGGCGUUGCCCAGACAACUAGGAUGUUGGCUUAGAAGCAGCCAUCAUUUAAAGAGUGCGUAAUAGCUCACUAGUCGAGUGACACUGCGCCGAAAAUGUACCGGGGCUAAACAUAUUACCGAAGCUGUGGAUUGUCCUUUGGACAAUGGUAGGAGAGCGUUCUAAGGGCGUUGAAGCAUGAUCGCAAGGACAUGUGGAGCGCUUAGAAGUGAGAAUGCCGGUGUGAGUAGCGAAAGACGGGUGAGAAUCCCGUCCACCGAUUGACUAAGGUUUCCAGAGGAAGGCUCGUCCGCUCUGGGUUAGUCGGGUCCUAAGCUGAGGCCGACAGGCGUAGGCGAUGGAUAACAGGUUGAUAUUCCUGUACCACCAUUAUUCGUUUUAAGCGAUGGGGGG